UACAGAGGUCCCAAGCGUUGUUCGGAUUCAUUGGGCGUAAAGGGUGCGUCGGUGGCGCCGUAAGUCGGGUGUGAAAUUUCGGAGCUUAACUCCGAAACUGCAUUCGAUACUGCGGUGCUUGAGGACUGGAGAGGAGACUGGAAUUCAUGGUGUAGCAGUGAAAUGCGUAGAGAUCAUGAGGAAGACCAGUGGCGAAGGCGGGUCUCUGGACAGUUCCUGACACUGAGGCACGAAGGCCAGGGGAGCAAACGGG
This 253-nucleotide ribosomal RNA is filed under the name uncultured bacterium. Its description in RNAcentral is "partial 16S ribosomal RNA". It matches the Rfam family "Bacterial small subunit ribosomal RNA", at positions 524 to 776 of the family's 1533-position model. The record is from RNAcentral.